UUCAUUUAUUAAUUUUAACUCAUUUAAUAUUAAUUUGCAUGAUGUAAAAUUAACUUAGGAGAUUACGGCAUAUAUAAAAAAUAUAUUUU
RNAcentral lists this small RNA (89 nucleotides) under Arabidopsis thaliana (thale cress). RNAcentral's name for it is "ATSL030150". The record is from RNAcentral. Lineage: Eukaryota; Viridiplantae; Streptophyta; Magnoliopsida; Brassicales; Brassicaceae.